CCAGAAGCCGUCUCCCACAAAGGUUGGUCCACACUGCUGGGCUGACAGAGGCUGCUCUGCAUGCUGAUGCAUACCCUCAGACUGGGGCUUGGUGUCAGGACUUUGGAGAGGAGAGCAUGAGGACCUUCACUUGGUGGUGCACCUUGGACGACUUUCACUGCCCUUGGUGUGUGAGAAGAUGUUCUUCACAACCCUUUAGACAAAACUGUCUUUAUUGGUCAUAUUGGUCAGAAAGGAUCUCAUCAAUCCAGAAGCAGAGCAUCAUGGAAACUACUCAGAAGCUCCUUCUUGCAAGCCCCCAUCAGAUCUGCAGUCUGCAGAACUGCUCAAGAUCUCUGUUCUCAUCACACUCACAGAGCAAGCAGAGUUUUCUGUACCCUGAAAACAGAGAGAAGCCUAGUGCUGAACCCAUGUUCAUUUCUGAAAUGUGGAAAAUGUCCAGGUGCUGAUAGAGGGCAACAAUAUAAUCUAUCAGACAAGCAAGGUAAAGAAAGAGAGGGAUGAAUAGAGAGACUGAGCCAGUGUUCAGAAGUGUGUACCCUGUUCUCCCUCAACAGAAUGAAAGGUAGUUAUGGACAAUUCAUACUCUGUCCAGUUCAGGAAAAGAACAUCUUAAAUCAUAUUCCCCUCUUUCUAUAUUUGAGUCCAAGGGUCAGACCCAAGUGAAGUUAUUCAUUUCCUCAAAGCUGACCACAUCAGCAGCACCUGUCAGCUAACUCCAAUAUCUUUGUAUUUUUAUGCCUAUUACAGGCCCCAAAAACCCCUUGAGAGAGGGAGGGAGAGAGAAUGGGAGAGGGAGAGAGGAAGAGAGAGUGAUUCUGCCUGAAUGCACAAGGAUCCAGAGGAUGAAACAAGCAGCAGUUUAUGGGAGAUGCAGGAUAACAGACAAUCCUGAUGGCACAACCUACAGGAAGAAGGAUGAGUGAAUGAGAAAAGGCAUUGUAAGAAAAUUCAGGUACAGAGGCUGAGCUGGGAAUCAAGCCCCUGGCAAUUAGAAAGUAACACUGAAGCCCAGGGGAUCUUCACUGCAGAGGAAUACCUCAUGCACUGCCCUUGGAAGAAACAUCAAAGUUGACUCCCAUGGUGUCAGGAUUGCAACACCACUGAGCUGGGCUGCCAUUGGGUGCAUGAAAAAGCACAGAAGGCAGCUUUGAAAAAUACCUCGUUCUCUUCUUGGUGCUUCCCAGAGUAGGAGCAAGAGUGGGAGUGGGAGAACAGCAAAAUGAGAGAAAGGGCUGUGUUUAAAUCAAUCCUUGCAUGUUACCCAAGGCUCAAUCUACAUGCAAAUGCGAGCAGAAGCUGUGAUGUUCCUGGUGGGGAUGCAGUACACUAUUCCCAUUAGAACAGGAACAAAUCUACGUACCUCCUUUCAGUCCUUCCCUACCCCUGCUCUUCCUUUUCUUAUAAUAAAGCCAUGUAAAAAGGAGCUCUGUUUUAGUCCUGUGCUUCCACUGCUUAGUGCAGAGACUCCUGCUCUGGAUGUCUCUGAGGGCACCAGGCACCAGGCACCAGGGUUUAUCAUAGUAUUCACCCAACAGACCGUUCACAGUUAAUAAAAAUCACCCUAACUAAAAUAUCCAUAUUCAUAAAAAAAAAUAGGCAGUUUGAUAGCUUAUCUGCUUGAAAA
Molecule: long non-coding RNA, 1627 nt
Organism: Oxyura jamaicensis (ruddy duck)
Lineage: Eukaryota; Metazoa; Chordata; Aves; Anseriformes; Anatidae
Exons: 2
Source: RefSeq, a predicted model, not a curated record